Molecule: long non-coding RNA, 277 nt
Organism: Oncorhynchus tshawytscha (Chinook salmon)
Lineage: Eukaryota; Metazoa; Chordata; Actinopteri; Salmoniformes; Salmonidae
Source: Ensembl
UCUGUACCGGUACCCCCUGUAUAUAGCCUCCACAUUGACUCUGUACUGGGGUUCCCAGUACAGAGUCAAUGUGGAGGCUAUAUACAGGGGGUACCAGUACAGAGUCAAUGUGGAGGCUAUAUACAGGGGGUUACCGGUACAGAGUCAAUGUGGAGGCUAUAUACAGGGGGUACUGGUACAGAGUCAAUGUGGAGGCUAUAUACAGGGGGUACCAGUACAGAGUCAAUGUGGAGGCUAUAUACAGGGGGUACCGGUACAGAGUCAUUGUGGAGACUAU